GCAGUGAGCUCUAGCGACACUACAUGCAGUCGAGCGAAUCUGAGGGAGCUUGCUCCCAAAGAUUAGCGGCGGACGGGUGAGUAACACGUGGGCAACCUGCCUGUAAGACUGGGAUAACUCCGGGAAACCGGGGCUAAUACCGGAUAAUAUCUAUUUAUACAUAUAAUUAGAUUGAAAGAUGGUUCUGCUAUCACUUACAGAUGGGCCCGCGGCGCAUUAGCUAGUUGGUGAGGUAACGGCUCACCAAGGCGACGAUGCGUAGCCGACCUGAGAGGGUGAUCGGCCACACUGGGACUGAGACACGGCCCAGACUCCUACGGGAGGCAGCAGUAGGGAAUCUUCCGCAAUGGACGAAAGUCUGACGGAGCAACGCCGCGUGAGUGAUGAAGGUUUUCGGAUCGUAAAACUCUGUUGUUAGGGAAGAACAAGUAUCGGAGUAACUGCCGGUACCUUGACGGUACCUAACCAGAAAGCCACGGCUAACUACGUGCCAGCAGCCGCGGUAAUACGUAGGUGGCAAGCGUUGUCCGGAAUUAUUGGGCGUAAAGCGCGCGCACGCGGUUCCUUAAGUCUGAUGUGAAAGCCCACGGCUCAACCGUGGAGGGUCAUUGGAAACUGGGGAACUUGAGUGCAGAAGAGGAAAGUGGAAUUCCAAGUGUAGCGGUGAAAUGCGUAGAGAUUUGGAGGAACACCAGUGGCGAAAGCGACUUUCUGGUCUGUAACUGACGCUGAGCGCGAAAGCGUGGGGAGCAAACAGGAUUAGAUACCCUGGUAGUCCACGCCGUAAACGAUGAGUGCUAAGUGUAGAAGGGGUUUCUGCCCCUUUAUUGCUGCAGCAAACGCAUUAUGCACUCCGCUGGGGGAGUACGACCGCAAGGUGAAACUCAAAAGAAUGACGGGGGCCCCCAACCGUGGAGCAUGUGGUUUAUUCUAGCAACACGAAGAAACUU
Molecule: ribosomal RNA, 950 nt
Filed under: Cytobacillus horneckiae
Lineage: Bacteria; Bacillati; Bacillota; Bacilli; Caryophanales; Bacillaceae
Description: bacterial SSU rRNA
Rfam family: Bacterial small subunit ribosomal RNA
Source: RNAcentral